Panicum virgatum (switchgrass) is the source of this 1518-nucleotide long non-coding RNA. RefSeq lists it as uncharacterized. The transcript has 2 exons. The record is from RefSeq and is a predicted model, not a curated record. Lineage: Eukaryota; Viridiplantae; Streptophyta; Magnoliopsida; Poales; Poaceae.
CGGAGCCAUUGUUCAAUGGAGGCCCUCUCAAGGACAUCCUUUCCCAGGAGGAAAGGAUACCCCUGAUGCUCGUAGGUCUCUGCUAGAUAGCGACAGAUUGCUCUUGAAUCUGCAGUUUAUAGGACAGGCUGUAGGUGAUACUAAUAAGAAUUGAGAGUGACACAUACAAAGGUGAAUUUUUUCAAAUCUGGCACAUCUUCAUUUCUCUUCACAGCAAUAACUGCUAUAAAAUAUCUUCAAUCUUUGUGAGAGAACAAUGUCAUCAGUAUAUAUCUGCCUAUAUCAUUGUAUACACAGUUGAUCUUUUAUGCACAAGUUAUGAAAGUUCUGCUUCUAAAGUUAAGAUUAUUAAUUAAGUAGUUACUUUGAAGAAGAAAAUAGUAAUAUUAGACCAUAUGUUUUUUUGUUGCUGCAAAUAUACUGAUGUCAUAACAAUUUUAGAUGGACAGACUGGUACAAAAUGUUGUCUCAUACUACGGUCGUUUCAGCCUGAACUAAUAUGGCAGUAUUUUUUUUUUGAAAAAAAAAAGCUAGAACUAAUUAGAAGAAUUUUAUGCAAGAUUCUGCCUUGGAAUGAUAAUAACAACCUUAUUACUGCUCUUGUAAUCUGAUUGUUUUCUAAUGACACGAUCAGUUUACUUGUGGUUUACUUUGUGUUUUCUCUGAAAAAAAUGCAUAUGGCUUUUACAUGAAAAUGUUGUUCACCAGGCUUCUCAUACUGUUGUUCUUUUUGGUAUGUGAUUCACCUUUUUAAGUUAUUCACUUGGACAACAUAUCAUAUUCUGAUAUUUGCAUGUUUGGCUUGCAACAUAUUUUGUCAAUGCAUCUGAGACCUUAAAGAAUUAUGUAGUUGGGAUGGCUCAAUGAUUACACAAGCUAGUGACAUUACCUUGAAGAAAUACAGGUCCAUCAUAGAAUGGAACCGGAACACUCCUUGAUGCCUGGAGACGAAUGAACAGGAUAUAAAAGUUGAGAUGAGAUCGAGUUGUUUUGAGCCAAGCAAACUUCUUCUACUAUUUUGUUGUUGCAAGGAACAUUGGGAUAUAUAAAGUACCUGGAGGCUUAGUAUGUCCUUGUAAGAGGCUUUGAUUGUCUCAAACUUAACAUUUUUCUCGUACAGGCAUGUGAGCACCCUUGAUACAUCGGGCAAGAUCAUGGACUUCUCAUGGUACACAUUCACCACGGGAGGCCCUGCUCCAGUGCUAAGGCUUGCCAUGGCGGCAAGAGCUCAGGCUCGCUGGCUGGAAGAACUGAAGGUAAUGGUGUGCAAGUGCGGCGACACAACCGUCAUUGUUUUAAUAUUAGAAGUUAUGUUCGGGCCUGCUUGAAGAAGCAAAGAGAAGAUGCUUAAAGUGUGGUAGAGUGAGAAGCAGGACUACAAAUAAUAAAAGUGAAAAGUAAGAAAGAAAAAAAGAGGAGGAAAGGAAAAGGUAAAGUGACCUAUACCUGGAGGAAUUUGGACUGUAGAUCGUGUUAUUUAUGUAUCCAUAGUCCAUACCAUAAGCUUAUAUCUGUUAU